CGCGGGGCAAUAUCUAGUUGGUGAGGUAACGGCUCACCAAGGCGACCAUGCGUAACCAACCUGAGAGGUGGAUCGGACACACUGGCCCUGAUCCUCGGCCCAGACUCCUACGGGAGGCAUCAAUAGGGAAUCUUCCCCAGUGGCCGAAAGCCUGAUGGAGCAACGCCGCGUGAGUGAAUAAGGUUUUCUUAUCGUAAAACUCUGUUGUAAUGGAAUAACAACUACAGUAUUAACUGGCUGUACCUUGACGGUACCUUAUUAAAAAGCCGCGGCUAACUACGUGCCAACAGCCGCGGUAAUACGUAAGUGGCAAUCGUUGUCCGGAAUUAUUGGGC
This 335-nucleotide ribosomal RNA is filed under the name Lysinibacillus sp. RNAcentral describes it as "bacterial SSU rRNA". It matches the Rfam family "Bacterial small subunit ribosomal RNA", at positions 232 to 559 of the family's 1533-position model. Lineage: Bacteria; Bacillati; Bacillota; Bacilli; Caryophanales; Bacillaceae. The record is from RNAcentral.